AAUUCGAUGAUACGCGAGGAACCUUACCUGGGCUCAAAUGUAUGUUGACGUAUUCUGAAAGGGAUACUUCUUCGGACAAUAUACAAGGUGCUGCAUGGUUGUCGUCAGCUCGUGCCGUGAGGUGUCGGGUUAAGUCCCAUAACGAGCGCAACCCCUGCUAUCUCGUUGCCAGCAAGUGAUGUUGGGGACUCAGAUGGAACUGCCGGUGACAAACCGGAGGAAGGUGGGGACGACGUCAAGUCAUCAUGGCCCUUAUGUCCAGGGCGACACACGUGCUACAAUGGCCGGCACAACGGGAAGCGAGUUCGCGAGGACGAGCGGAUCCCUUAAAGCCGGUCGCAGUUCGGAUUGAAGUCUGCAACUCGACUUCAUGAAGCUGGAAUCGCUAGUAAUCGCAGAUCAGCCAAGCUGCGGUGAAUACGUUCCCGGGCCUU
RNAcentral lists this ribosomal RNA (434 nucleotides) under uncultured Synergistaceae bacterium. RNAcentral's name for it is "bacterial SSU rRNA". It matches the Rfam family "Bacterial small subunit ribosomal RNA", at positions 948 to 1382 of the family's 1533-position model. Lineage: Bacteria; Thermotogati; Synergistota; Synergistia; Synergistales; Synergistaceae. The record is from RNAcentral.